CGAUGAAAACCUUUUUCUUGAGGUGUGGCUCGCACCUGUCUAACUAAACUUGAGCUACCCAUUUAUACACGGUUGCAUCGGUUGGCUGUCAAACAGUGCGGAGCCCUCGUGGCUCGGCGCUGGGAGGCGGUCGACAAUUACCAAAAAACACUGUUGAUACCAUAGGAUUUGAACGUAGAUGAAUCGACUGGUAAUGCGGUCGUCUAAAUCUAAAAA
Molecule: unclassified non-coding RNA, 216 nt
Filed under: uncultured Basidiomycota
Lineage: Eukaryota; Fungi; Basidiomycota
Description: sequence contains ITS1
Source: RNAcentral